UUUCUCUGGGAACACUGGUUGCCCUGGAGUGCACUCUGUAGACCAAGCUGGCCUCAAACCACAAAUCUGCCUCUGCCUCCCAGUUCAUGAUGUGAACACCUGGAUCCAGAUGUGCCCGAAGCUCUCCCAUUAUCUAGACUUCUCGAUUAAACGAUCUCAAGUUGGGAUUUCUCAUACUUGCAGAAGAAACCAACCCUGGCUAAUACAGAGACACAGCAUACAACCCUGUCACUAUUGUGCCAGUUAAGUGAGAGGGUGAUGGCACACAGGAGCAUCUAAAUUAUACCCAGGGCACAUGUAAGGCGAGAUGGUUUUGCUUUCUGCCCUUCCCCAUUCUUUUUCUGAAACCUCAGCCUCAGAGAGUCAUGUCGGCAUGGUCCCAGUCAUCCGGCACAAGAAUUACACCCAAGGUCAUGAACAGUGAUGGCAGAGCUGUCAUCUCCAGGAAAGGACAACAACAAACAACAGUUACUCCAGUUCUGGAAUACAACACACCGCAGGCUUGCAAAGCCCUUGUAGCCAAAUUAAAUCUGACAUCACUCCUCGGGUUGACAGAACACCAUGGCAGCUUUUCCAAUAGAAUGAACCCAGAUACCCGAGGGCGCUGUCUCUUGUGGGUUGGCAUCACCUCCUCCACUCCAGCUCUGCUAAUGGUGAUUGAGCCUCUGAGAUCACGGGAUGGAGAGUAACAGACACGGAGAACUCGGGGUGCUCACACAGGAGCCCAGAGAAGCCAGGAGCUCAAACAUAACCUUGAGUUCAGCCCCGGGGCCCUGAAGCCAUUGUACUAUCUCCAUUCCUUGGCCAAGGUCAGAAGGAAUCCACAGGGUCCCCGCUAGGCCACGUCAGAAUCAGCACAUCGGUUGAUGAGCACAGCAAUGUUUUUUAAACAAAGGGACGGCUGGCAUCAAGGUCAUCACGAAAGGUUGUGACUGUUCCUCUCUUCCAGAAAGGACACUGGCCGCAUCUGGGCAGAGGUGUGACAGCGUACUCAUUCAGGACAUAAGGUGACGCCCACACUGCUUAGCUCCCCACCACAGGACACUUGAUCCUUCUCCAUCGUUAAAGGUGACCAUU
RNAcentral lists this long non-coding RNA (1077 nucleotides) under Mus musculus (house mouse). RNAcentral's name for it is "long non-coding RNA chr11:88744685-88745762". Lineage: Eukaryota; Metazoa; Chordata; Mammalia; Rodentia; Muridae. The record is from RNAcentral.